UUUUUCCUUACAACUAGUAAAGAACGUUACUUUAGAGAAUAAUAUCUAUAAUUAAUUAAUGGGGUUUCGGGUUUCCCCCUUUUAUUUCCUUCCCACGAAAAAAAAAAGGGAAAUGUUCUUAAUUAGCGAUCUGGAACCCUAGAGACCAGAACGAGUCGAGUUCAACCCAUCUCACCCAGACAUUCCACUCGCGACUCACGAUUCCACCAGCGAUCCCACCAGCCCUUCGUCAAGCUCCUCUCUCUCUCUCCCUCGGCUCCCUCUUUUCUUUGUCUUUAAACCUGGAAUCAACCUUUUUGAUUCUCAGAAAGUAAUCAAAGAUUAUGGAUGCCGUUAAAUUCAGAAUGCCGGUGAAACCGCCGGAAAGAUUCUGAAAGGGGUCGGAAUUUCUUCACAUUCAAGGCACCUUUUGAUCGAUCACAUCGUUAGCUGGAGUUUUCAGAAUAUGUGCUGACCGAUCUCUAGCAGAUGCGCAUUAGACUUCUGCUUGGUUAGAUUGGUCGAGGAGAUUAGUUGCAUUUACCUUAGUGUUUUACCAAUGAUGGCCCCUAUUCGCACGUGUGGAUUUGUUGAUCCAGGUUGGGAGCAUGGAGUUGCUCAAGAUGAAAAGAAAAAGAAGGUUAAAUGUAAUUAUUGCGGGAAAAUAGUUAGUGGUGGCAUAUAUAGGUUGAAGCAACAUUUAGCUCGAGUUUCGGGGGAAGUUACGUAUUGUGACAAGGCUCCAGAGGAAGUAUAUUUGAGAAUGAGAGAAAACCUGGAAGGUUGUCGUUCCAAUAAGAAACCAAGACAGUCGGAAGAUGAUGAACAAUCAUAUUUGAACUUCCAUUCCAAUGAUGAUGAAGAUGGUGGUUUACAUGUGGCUUAUAGAAAUAGAGGAAGGCAAUUGAUGGUAAACCGAAACGUCGGUGCUAACAUGACUCCUCUAAGAUCAUUAAGAUAUGUUGACCCUGGAUGGGAACACGGUGUGGCUCAGGACGAAAGGAAGAAGAAGGUUAAGUGCAACUACUGUGAAAAGAUAGUUAGUGGAGGUAUUAAUAGGUUUAAGCAACAUCUAGCCAGAAUUCCUGGAGAGGUAGCCCCGUGUAAACACGCUCCUGAGGAAGUGUAUCUUAAGAUCAAAGAGAAUAUGAAAUGGCAUCGUACUGGCAGGAGAAAUGGACAGACCGAUGCCAACGAGUUAUCGGCUUAUUUUAUGCAAUCAGAUAAUGAAGAAGAGGAAGACGAGAAAGAGGAAUCCUUGCAUCAUAUUAGCAAGGAAAGAUUGAUCGAUGGUGACAAAAGGUCAAGCAAAGAUUUGAGAAGUACCUUUAGGGGAAUGUCCCCUGGUGGUGGAUCUGAACCGUCGGUUAAAAGAUCGAGGUUAGAUUCUGUUUUUCUGAAAACCACCAAAAGACCAACCGAACAGUUGCACAAACAAGCAUUAGUAAAAAGAGGAGCCAAUAGGAGGUCACGCAAAGAAGUAAUGUCUGCAAUUUGCAAAUUCUUUUGCUAUGCAGGAAUUCCUUUCCAGUCUGCAAAUUCUGUUUACUUUCAUAAGAUGUUGGAGACAGUCGGUCAAUAUGGAUCAGGCUUGGUUGGCCCCUCGUGCCAAUUGAUAUCUGGUCGGUUAUUACAGGACGAAGUGGCAACCGUUAAGACUUACCUGGUUGAGUUGAAGGCCUCCUGGGCAAUUACUGGCUGUUCUAUACUGGUGGACAGUCGGAAGGAUUCAAAUGGUCGAACGUCUAUAAACUUUUUGGUUUCUUGUCCCCGUGGUGUUUACUUUGUCUCAUCAGUUGAUGCCACUGAAGUAGCAGAUGACCCUUCAAACUUGUUUAGGGUGCUUGAUGCAGUGGUAGAUGAAAUUGGGGAGGAAAAUGUGGUGCAGGUAAUCACUGAGAAUACUCCUAAUUAUAAAGCUGCUGGUAAAAUGCUCGAGGAGAAGAGAAGAAAUUUAUUCUGGACGCCAUGUGCGACCUAUUGUAUUGAUCACAUGCUUGAAGAUUUUUUGAAAUUGAGAACCGUGGAAGAUUGCAUGGAAAAGUGCCAAAAAAUUACCAAGUUUAUUUACAAUCGGAACUGGUUGUUAAAUUUCAUGAAGAACGAGUUCACCCAAGGGUUGGAACUUCUUAGACCUGCAGUUACUCGGAACGCCUCGAACUUUGCUACUUUGCAGUGCUUCCUGGACCACAGAGCUAGUUUACGGAGAAUGUUCGUCUCCAAUGAGUGGACUUCUUGCAGGUUUUCUAAAUCUGGUGAGGGACAAGAAGUAGAGAUGAUUGUAUUAAAUACUUCAUUUUGGAAGAAGGUUCAAUAUGUUUGUAAAUCUGUGGAACCAGUAUUGCAAGUUCUUCAAAAAUCCGAUUCGGUUCAAAGCUUGUCGAUGUCAUCUAUAUAUAAUGACAUGUACAGAGCCAAGUUCGCUAUACAAUCCAUUCAUGGCGACGAUGCCAGGAAAUAUGGACCAUUCUGGAAUGUGAUAGAUAGCAACUGGAAUUCUUUAUUUUGCCACCCUUUACAUAUGGCUGCUUUUUUCUUAAACCCAUCAUACAGAUAUCGUCCUGAUUUCGUGGCGCAUUCGGAGGUGGUUCGUGGACUUAAUGAAUGCAUAGUUCGGCUCGAGUCUGACAGUUCCAGAAGGAUUUCUGCAUCUAUGCAGAUUUCGGACUAUAAUUCAGCAAAAUCUGAUUUUGGAACUGAGCUGGCUAUCAGUACAAGAACAGAGCUUGAUCCAGCUGCAUGGUGGCAACAACAUGGAAUUAGUUGUUUAGAACUGCAACAAAUAGCUGUUCGCAUACUGAGUCAAACAUGUUCAUCUUUGUGUUGUGAACACUACUGGUCCCCUUUCAAGAAUGAACGCAGUCAAAAGAACAAUGCUUUGUCUCAGAGAAAAAUGGCUGAUUUGUUGUAUGUUCACUACAACCUUCGGCUUCGAGAACGCCAACUAAGAAAGCGAUCUAGUGACUCUGUUUCUCUUGAUGAUAUUCUUAUGGAACAUUUGUUGGAUGAUUGGAUUGUGGAACCUCAGAAACAAGGCAUGCAAGAAGAUGAGGAAAUCCUUUGUCCUGGAAUGGAGACACUAGAUGCAUAUGAGAAUGAUUUGAUUGACUAUGAGGACGGGACUACAGAGGCGGCGAGGAAGGGCUGUCUUCAACUGGUUUGUUUGACUAAUGUCGAACCAUUGGAUGUCAACCCUGCCAAUGGAGGCGCUUCCACCGACAAUGAUGCCGAUGUUAAGUUCUACGACGAUGAGCUAAGUGACUAAACUUGACAUGAGUUGAGCUCACCAGCCAUUGUCUGGUUACCUGAUUUAUGGCUUCAUAUUUAUGUUUUUGAUCUCUAUAACCCAAGUCAGCUUUAAUCCAGGUGCAUCUGUAAUUACACGAAGUUUUACUCUUAUUCAAAUCCGAAUCCAAACGAACAAGAUUUGCGCAUUUAGUGGUCCGGUGCAAAGGAAGAAGGGUCGUGCCCAAUCUCAAACAAUUCUUCCAUGCUACUUUUCGGGAAUCAAAUAAGUUUUACAACGACGAGUUAGGCGUUAAGCGACUAAUACAAGUACGUAACCCAACCCAACACUAUAACCUUUAUUACUUAGUUAU
This is a non-coding RNA of Cucurbita pepo subsp. pepo (vegetable marrow), 3578 nucleotides long. Lineage: Eukaryota; Viridiplantae; Streptophyta; Magnoliopsida; Cucurbitales; Cucurbitaceae. The record is from RefSeq and is a predicted model, not a curated record.